GUCGAGAAUAAUUCACAAUGGACGAAAGUCUGAUGGUGCAACGCCGCGUGGAGGAUGACGGUCUUCGGAUUGUAAACUCCUGUCAUCCGGGAGUAAGACCUGGCUGUGAAUAGCAGACAGGGUUGAUAGUACCGGAAGAGGAAGGGACGGCUAACUUCGUGCCAGCAGCCGCGGUAAUACGAAGGUCCCGAGCGUUGUUCGGAAUCACUGGGCGUAAAGGGAGCGUAGGCGGCGUGGUAAGUCAGAUGUGAAAUCCCGGGGCUCAACCCCGGAACUGAAUCCGAUACUGCCGUGCUAGAGGAUUGGAGAGGUAGCUGGAAUUCUUGGUGUAGCAGUGAAAUGCGUGGAGAUCAAGAGGAACACUCGUGGCGAAAGCGAGCUACUGGACAAUAUCUGACGCUGAGGCUCGAAGGCCAGGGUAGCGAAAGGGAUUAGAAACCCGGGUAGUCC
This 450-nucleotide ribosomal RNA is filed under the name uncultured bacterium. RNAcentral describes it as "partial 16S ribosomal RNA". It matches the Rfam family "Bacterial small subunit ribosomal RNA", at positions 354 to 796 of the family's 1533-position model. The record is from RNAcentral.